Molecule: ribosomal RNA, 253 nt
Filed under: uncultured bacterium
Lineage: Bacteria
Description: partial 16S ribosomal RNA
Rfam family: Bacterial small subunit ribosomal RNA
Source: RNAcentral
UACGGAGGGUGCAAACGUUGCUCGGAAUCAUUGGGCGUAAAGCGCACGUAGGCGGUUCGUUAAGUCGGAUGUGAAAGCCCUUGGCUCAACCGAGGAAGGGCAUCCGAAACUGGCGUGCUUGAGUAUGGAAGAGGGUCUCGGAAUUCCCGGUGUAGAGGUGAAAUUCGUAGAUAUCGGGAGGAACACCAGUGGCGAAGGCGGAGACCUGGGCCAAUACUGACGCUGAGGUGCGAAAGCGUGGGGAGCAAACAGG